This 2033-nucleotide long non-coding RNA is filed under the name Homo sapiens (human). RNAcentral describes it as "HSALNT0246959". Lineage: Eukaryota; Metazoa; Chordata; Mammalia; Primates; Hominidae. The record is from RNAcentral.
CAUCAUCUCUACGGAGUCUUUGCAGUGGGGAUGGUUUGAGUGGGAACUGGCAAUGUGGCAGUUAGCAGAAGUGACUCUCCAGGGGAGCUAAAAUCCAUGUAUUUGGGCACACACUUGAACAAUAUUGCUAGAGAAAUUUAAGCAAGAGCACAAAGAAAGAAUCAUCUGAAAGGAAUGUGGAGAUCAGAGAAAAAUGAUGGGAAAGUUACCACAGCCUGCAAAUGAGAAAUGAUGAGAGCCUGCCUGGGUUUUGCCAGGACGAUUAAAUAUCAUUGAUGCUUCUGGUCUACAAUUAGUCAGAGAAGAGAUUAAAAAAAUGAUGAGUAUUCAAGAAGGAAAGUGUUUGCUUUAACAUAUGAAGAAAAGGAGCUUCAGAGUGGUGAUUAACCCCAGAAUUGUGUGGAACGGAUAUGGAAACAAGACCACAGGAGCAUCGAGAACUGAGCAGAACUGAAGGUGACAUGAAAAUCAGCUGCAAGAUUCACCUCAGGGUGAUAAUGGGCUGCAGGUGGCUGCAGGAAUCCCGGGACAUUCUAGGCACUGCCAUAUUUUCUUAGGGGCCAGUAAGGAUGGCUAUCAUCAGAUGUACCUGAUGAUACAAACAUGGGCUGUCUUGCCUUCUAGUAUUCAUUCUUGAUGAUUGCAUCCAGAGCUCACUUUGGAGGUGCAGAUCAACUCUUCUUCAGGCUCAUCCAUGCGACUUGAGUGGGCUCUCAUCCCCAUUCCCAGGGGCUUAUGACAAUCAAGGUUUCCACUCCUCCAUGGUCUCAAUGGUUUUUCUCCCCAUGGGAAGCACAUAAUCCCAUUAGAGGCCACGGGAAGCUUUUUUGUUGGGCUUUGAGGGAAAAAAGGCUUUUGCAGCCAAUGAAUCGAUCAAUGUGUACUUCAACCUGGAUUGUAUGUAUGCAUCUCCUAGAUUGGGCGGAUGAUGAAGUGAGGCUGGAAGUGCUGAGCAUCUUCCUACCUGGGAUGACUGGGCUGAGCAGGAAGCCUACCCCGGGGUUCCAGCCAAGUUGGAGCCUGUGAGUGUGUGGUGUAGUUUAACGCCCUGAUUAAAUCACUAGGAAGCCAUUUCUCUCUCUCCUCCCAGACCAGAUCAGACAAUAUGUUCCCUUAUUUCUACUAAAGCCCCAAUUGGAUUUUGUGUCUUUUGAUACUGAAAGAAUCUUACCACAAAUAAAAUAAUUUGUCAUGUGGCUCCUACAUAUUUAUUCAGUUACAUAAACUAACUAAAUAAAUGAAUAAACUGUCAAUAAUGGUAGUUCCUCAUCUAUGAAUGACUCUUUACAAAGCCUAUCUCGCUUAAUAGUCAUAAUAAAUACUGAAGUAGAUACUAUUUAUACCUUUUUUUUAAAAGGAAUUAAAUAUUUUCAGGGUUAUACAAAGCAUGAGUAUUGUGGGUACAAAUUCAAGCUUUCUAACUCAAAUUUGAAGACUUAUCCCCAGGAUACUUUUACAUCUUUAGCUAGUACCAUGUAUACCUCAAAAGCUUACAUUAUUUUUCACAUGUGUUAGGUUUUGAGGGAUAAUCAAUAAGGAGGGCAUACUUUCAGGCUUCUUAUUUAUAACUGUGAAAUUUAGAAAUUGAUGGAGUAGCAGAUUUCUCGGUAGGAGACAGCUGUUUUAAAAUGCCCCAUGUUUUUAUUAAAGUAAAAAUCUCAAAAAUUGUCUUUUAAAAAGUGGCUCUGGCCAAUCUUAGAUAAAACAUCAUUUACUAGACUUAGGAAUUUCCUGUAGUAAAUUUCAGAUUUACUUUUCGGUCUCACAUCAUCAAAGAGAUCAUAACCCUUUGUGCAAUUAUGGUCUUGAACCAAGGCCUAUUCUCUAGGUCACUGCUGUCAGGACUUCAAGAUAAUUGUUUCCAUUGCAGGAUUUGAUUUUUAAUUCCCCGGAUGUUCUUGACGUGGUUCAGUUCUUCAGGAAAUCAUCACCCUCAUGAGCCCUCCCUGCCACUUGCAGAUAGGGCUUUCUCCCGGUAAGUUCUGGAGUCACGGCAGAGCUCAAUAAGUCUGAUUGGGACCUCCUAUGAUUAU